This 301-nucleotide ribosomal RNA is filed under the name uncultured bacterium. RNAcentral's name for it is "partial 16S ribosomal RNA". It matches the Rfam family "Bacterial small subunit ribosomal RNA", at positions 509 to 807 of the family's 1533-position model. The record is from RNAcentral.
CAGCCGCCACGGUAAUACGUAGGUGGCAAGCGUUGUCCGGAAUUAUUGGGCGUAAAGGGCUCGCAGGCGGUUUCUUAAGUCUGAUGUGAAAGCCCCCGGCUCAACCGGGGAGGGUCACUGGAAACUGGGAAACUUGAGUGCAGAAGAGGAGAGUGGAAUUCCACGUGUAGCGGUGAAAUGCGUAGAGAUGUGGAGGAACACCAGUGGCGAAGGCGACUCUCUGGUCUGUAACUGACGCUGAGGAGCGAAAGCGUGGGGAGCGAACAGGACUAGAUACCCCUGUAGUCCCUGUCUCUUAUAC